CCUACGGGAGGCAGCAGUGGGGAAUAUUGGACAAUGGGCGAAAGCCUGAUCCAGCCAUGCCGCGUGUGUGAAGAAGGCCUUCGGGUUGUAAAGCACUUUCAGUGGGGAAGAAAGCCUUGGGGCUAAUACCCUCGAGGAAGGACAUCACCCACAGAAGAAGCACCGGCUAACUCCGUGCCAGCAGCCGCGGUAAUACGGAGGGUGCGAGCGUUAAUCGGAAUUACUGGGCGUAAAGCGCGCGUAGGCGGUCUGAUAAGCCGGUUGUGAAAGCCCCGGGCUCAACCUGGGAACGGCAUCCGGAACUGUCAGGCUAGAGUGCAGGAGAGGAAGGUAGAAUUCCCGGUGUAGCGGUGAAAUGCGUAGAGAUCGGGAGGAAUACCAGUGGCGAAGGCGGCCUUCUGGACUGACACUGACGCUGAGGUGCGAAAGCGUGGGUAGCAAACAGGAUUAGAUACCCGAUAGU
This 463-nucleotide ribosomal RNA is filed under the name Vreelandella stevensii. RNAcentral's name for it is "partial 16S ribosomal RNA". It matches the Rfam family "Bacterial small subunit ribosomal RNA", at positions 338 to 794 of the family's 1533-position model. The record is from RNAcentral. Lineage: Bacteria; Pseudomonadati; Pseudomonadota; Gammaproteobacteria; Oceanospirillales; Halomonadaceae.